UAGGGAAUCUUCCGCAAUGGACGCAAGUCUGACGGAGCAACGCCGCGUGAGUGAAGAAGGAUUUCGGUUCGUAAAACUCUGUUGUUAGAGAAGAACAGCGCAUAGAGUAACUGUUAUGCGUGUGACGGUAUCUAACCAGAAAGCCACGGCUAACUACGUGCCAGCAGCCGCGGUAAUACGUAGGUGGCAAGCGUUGUCCGGAUUUAUUGGGCGUAAAGCGAGCGCAGGCGGUCAAUUAAGUCUGAUGUGAAAGCCCCCGGCUCAACCGGGGAGGGUCAUUGGAAACUGGUUGACUUGAGUGCAGAAGAGGAGAGUGGAAUUCCAUGUGUAGCGGUGAAAUGCGUAGAUAUAUGGAGGAACACCAGUGGCGAAAGCGGCUCUCUGGUCUGUAACUGACGCGGAGGCUCGAAAGCGUGGGGAGCGAACAGG
Molecule: ribosomal RNA, 429 nt
Filed under: Bacteroidota bacterium
Lineage: Bacteria; Pseudomonadati; Bacteroidota
Description: Bacteroidetes bacterium partial 16S ribosomal RNA
Rfam family: Bacterial small subunit ribosomal RNA
Source: RNAcentral